This 253-nucleotide ribosomal RNA is filed under the name uncultured bacterium. RNAcentral's name for it is "partial 16S ribosomal RNA". It matches the Rfam family "Bacterial small subunit ribosomal RNA", at positions 524 to 776 of the family's 1533-position model. The record is from RNAcentral.
UACGUAGGAGGCGAGCGUUGUCCGGAAUCACUGGGCGUAAAGGGUGCGUAGGCGGGUCUUUAAGUCAGGGGUGAAAUCCUGGAGCUCAACUCCAGAACUGCCUUUGAUACUGAGGAUCUUGAGUUCGGGAGAGGUGAGUGGAACUGCGAGUGUAGAGGUGAAAUUCGUAGAUAUUCGCAAGAACACCAGUGGCGAAGGCGGCUCACUGGCCCGAUACUGACGCUGAGGCACGAAAGCGUGGGGAGCAAACAGG